CCUACGGGAGGCAGCAGUGAGGAAUAUUGGUCAAUGGGCUUACGCCUGAACCAGCCAAGUCGCGUUAGGGAAGACUGCCCUAUGGGUUGUAAACCUCUUUUGUCAGGGAGCAAUUGGCGCUACGUGUAGCGUUAUCGAGAGUACCUGCAGAAAAAGCAUCGGCUAACUCCGUGCCAGCAGCCGCGGUAAUACGGAGGAUGCGAGUGUUAUCCGGAUUUAUUGGGUUUAAAGGGUUCGUAGGCGGAAUGCCAAGUCAGCGGUAAAAUCGCGGGGCUAAACCUCGCUUCGCCGUUGAAAAUGGCGUUCUUGAGUGGGCGAGAAGGAUGCGGAAUGCGUGGUGUAGCGGUGAAAUGCAUAGAUAUCACGCAGAACUCCGACUGAGAAGGCAGCAUACCGGCGCCCAACUGACGCUGAAGCACGAAAGCGGGGGUAUCGAACAGGAUUAGAUACCCCAGUAGUC
This 460-nucleotide ribosomal RNA is filed under the name uncultured bacterium. Its description in RNAcentral is "partial 16S ribosomal RNA". It matches the Rfam family "Bacterial small subunit ribosomal RNA", at positions 338 to 795 of the family's 1533-position model. The record is from RNAcentral.